RNAcentral lists this ribosomal RNA (253 nucleotides) under uncultured bacterium. RNAcentral's name for it is "partial 16S ribosomal RNA". It matches the Rfam family "Bacterial small subunit ribosomal RNA", at positions 524 to 776 of the family's 1533-position model. The record is from RNAcentral.
UACGUAGGGACCAAGCGUUGUUCGGAUUUACUGGGCGUAAAGGGCGCGUAGGCGGCGUGGUAAGUCACUUGUGAAAUCUCUGAGCUCAACUCAGAACGGCCAAGUGAUACUGCUGUGCUCGAGUGUGGAAGGGGCAAUCGGAAUUCUUGGUGUAGCGGUGAAAUGCGUAGAUAUCAAGAGGAACACCUGAGGUGAAGACGGGUUGCUGGGCCAACACUGACGCUGAGGCGCGAAAGCCAGGGGAGCAAACGGG